RNAcentral lists this non-coding RNA (188 nucleotides) under Paenibacillus naphthalenovorans. Lineage: Bacteria; Bacillati; Bacillota; Bacilli; Caryophanales; Paenibacillaceae. The record is from RNAcentral.
UGCAUACAUACUGAAUCAGGUGCCUUUGCGACAGCAAAGGGUAACAGGGAAUCGGGUGCAAAUCCCGAGCGGUCCCGCCACUGUAUUCGGGGAGUUUCUCCCAGCAUGUCACUCGAUCAUCCAUCGGGGAAGACGGGAGAACACGACGAUCCGAGAGCCAGGAGACCUACCUGAUUUAUGCACCCCAA